This 254-nucleotide ribosomal RNA is filed under the name uncultured bacterium. Its description in RNAcentral is "partial 16S ribosomal RNA". It matches the Rfam family "Bacterial small subunit ribosomal RNA", at positions 524 to 776 of the family's 1533-position model. The record is from RNAcentral.
UACGUAGGGUGCGAGCGUUGUCCGGAAUUAUUGGGCGUAAAGAGCUCGUAGGCGGUCUGUCGCGUCGGUCGUGAAAACUUGGGGCUUAACCCUGAGCUUGCGGUCGAUACGGGCAUGACUGGAGUUCGGCAGGGGAGACUGGAAUUCCUGGUGUAGCGGUGAAAUGCGCAGAUAUCAGGAGGAACACCGAUGGCGAAGGCAGGUCUCUGGGCCACUACUGACGCUGAGAAGCGAAAGCAUGGGGAGCGAACAGG